This 381-nucleotide ribosomal RNA is filed under the name Helicobacter pylori. RNAcentral describes it as "bacterial LSU rRNA". It matches the Rfam family "Bacterial large subunit ribosomal RNA", at positions 1216 to 1598 of the family's 2925-position model. The record is from RNAcentral. Lineage: Bacteria; Pseudomonadati; Campylobacterota; Epsilonproteobacteria; Campylobacterales; Helicobacteraceae.
UUUAUAGGUAUGGUAGGAGAGCGUUCUAUGUGUGGAGAAUGUGUACCGUGAGGAGCGCUGGAACGCAUAGAAGUGAGAAUGCCGGUAUGAGUAGCGAAAGACAGGUGAGAAUCCUGUCCACCGUAAGACUAAGGUUUCCAGGGGAAGGCUCGUCCGCCCUGGGUUAGUCGGGACCUAAGGAGAGACCGAAAGGUGUAUCCGAUGGACAACAGGUUGAUAUUCCUGUACUAGAGUAUGUAGUGAAGGAGGGACGCAGUAGGCUAACUAAAGCGUGCGACUGGAAGUGCACGUCUAAGCAGUGAGGUGUGAAUUGAGUUAAAUGCUUAAUUCUAUAACAUUGAGCUGUGAUGGGGAGCGAAGUUUAGUAGCGAAGUUAGUGAC